This is a long non-coding RNA of Biomphalaria glabrata, 2169 nucleotides long. RefSeq lists it as uncharacterized. NCBI's taxonomy places the organism in Eukaryota, Metazoa, Mollusca, Gastropoda, Planorbidae. The record is from RefSeq and is a predicted model, not a curated record. The transcript is spliced from 3 exons.
UAUCAUCAGCCAUAUAUCAUUUUAAAUAUUAAAAUAGUAGACAUAGAUUUCUAUAUUAUAAAUAGAUAGAUUAGAUCUAUAAAAUAUAAUUUUACAAACUUAGAAAUGAUUGAUUUUAUUUUUAAUUGAUCAGCCUUCUAGACUAGAUCUAGCAUCUCUAGCUAGACUCUAACCUGUAGUUUGUAGAUCUUGGAAUUGGAUCGAAAUUCACCUUCCUAAAUUGUCUCUAAAGUCUGUAGCUGAUUUGAGAGGCCCAACGAGGCAAGAGUCUAUUACUAUUAGUACUCUGUCUCUUGAUCUAUCUAGUAGGCCUACUUGGCUAGUGCAUUAGCCUUAGCCAUAGUGUAGUCAAAUCUUGACAACUAGUCUUCUAGAUCUAAGCUUCUAGAAUAAUUAGAUCUAGAUCCAGUUUAGAUUUAGAAUAUAAAAGUAUUUUACUAGCUAAAAUACUAAAUCUACUGAUCUAAAUUCUAGAUAGAUAUAUUGAUCCAGUUUAGAUUUGGAAUAUAAAAAUAUUUACUAGCUAAAAUUCUAAAUCUACUGAUCUAUACUUAAUAUUUUAGAUAUUAUAUGACAUCUACAAAAAUUAUUAUUAAGAUAUAAUUAUAGAAUCUAGACUAGUUAUUUAUGUACAUAAAAUAUAUAAAUAAAAGAUAAAAUUUAUGCAGGCCUAGAUCCCAUAAAUUUAUAAUUGAUCCAGAUCUAUCAGUAAAGUUACCUUCGAUGGGAAGUUUUACCCAAUCUAAUCUAUACAAGACAAUUUAUAAUCCAUGCCUCGCCUACACCCCAUACAUUAAAUAAUAGUUCCCAUUCCAUGCCAUGCCCAGACCCAUGAGUUCAUGAAAUAAUAAAUGAUGUGGUGUCAAGUUGGAUCUAUCCCCAGAAAUUCAGCACUUUAAUAUAAAACUCUCAUAUCUAGUUAAUUAUUUGCUAUGACACUCUGAUCAACUUGGACUUGUGUGAUACAUAUAUGUUUCUUAUCAGAUUUAAUGAAUGAAGUUUUGGUGCAUUUUAAGGCUACAAAAGUAUCAUCAGGUGCAUUCUAACCAUUGGUAUUUUUCCUGGCAACAUUUCUAUUCUAGUCUGUGAUAAUUUAUAAAUUUAAAAAAAUGUUUGUAAUGUUUCAGUUAUUAACAAGUAGAACCAUGCCAACCAGUUCUGAUGAUGUACCAGAAUGGCUCAAGGAUCAUACUUAUACUAUUUCUACUCUCUGGGCAGACAUUAAUAAUAUUGGCAUCCAUUCAAUAUUUAUUUUAUGUUUGGAAAUGCAAGAAAAAGGCAUGCAUUCCUGACAAGUCAAUGAUUGGUUGCACCUCUUAAAGAUAACUUUCUGUUAUGAGAAAAGAUGAGAUUCUUGGACUCCUGCAUAGCACCACCAGAAAGGAAAAUCCCAUCAUGUUGCAAAAUAAAAGUCUUGGACCAAUUUUAAUUUAAGAUAUAUAUAUUAUACUGUAAGCUCUAUACAUAUUUAUGUAUAUCCUGUCAUUCAGCCAACAGGUUUGGAUUUAGUAUUUCUUUAAAUCUGUUUGAUAUUGUACUUGAAAACUAUUAAUCUGAGCCCCAUUAAAACAAUAGGGAGUGCAGUGAAUGAGUGGUAAAGCACUUGGCUUCUGAACUGAGGGUUCCUGGGUUCAAUUAAGACUGGGAUUUUCAAUUUCAGAAUUCAAAAGGCUAGGGAUACAUGGCAAUAGUAAGGAAUAAGUAAAGGCAGUUUGGGGAUCCAUGGCUGAAUGGUUAAGUCAUGGGUUUGAAUCUCUGUGAAGACUCGGAUUAAAUUUUUUUUUAGAUUUUUGGGUGCCCCUGAGUCCACCUAACUCUAAUGGGUAGCUGACUUUUGUUUUGGAAAGUAAAGAUGGUUGGUUGUUGUGCUGGCCACAUGAUGCACUGGCCAAAGAAUCAAAUGACCUUAACAUCAUCGGCCCUAUAGAUUGUGACGUCUGAAAUGGGAUUUUUUUUUCAAAAGGUGGUUGGUUGUUGUGCUGGGUACAUGACACCCUCGCUAACCAUGGGGCACAGAAACUGAUAAACUUUAUAUCAUCUGCCCCAUAGAUUGCAAGAUAUGUAAGGGAAAUUUUACUUUUUUAAAAUUAAAAUAAGAAUCUAUCAAAAGUAAACAUAAAAUAUGGUGCAUUCUCCUUAAAACUAAAGCCUGGUGCGAAGGUUUAAAAU